GUAUUGUUAUAGGUUACGGAUGCAACGUCGUUAAAAAAUUCCAGGACAAUUAAAUUGUUGAUUCAAUCGAACAUAUGGUAUGAACAUGGUUUGUUUCACGGGGUGUUUCGGUGUCUUGCCUUGAAUCAAGGCGUGUAAAAACGUUAUGUGUGAUCCUUAUACACCAGCUGGUGUUCCAAUUCCAACCAACAAGAGGCACAACGCUGCUAAAAUUUUCAGACACCAAUCGUUGCCUCCGAGGAGCCUUGGUAUGCUCAUCUUCUUGUUUUUUGGCUAUACAUAUUAUUUUCGUUACUAUAAAUUCUAAUAGUGUU
Molecule: long non-coding RNA, 314 nt
Organism: Arabidopsis lyrata subsp. lyrata
Lineage: Eukaryota; Viridiplantae; Streptophyta; Magnoliopsida; Brassicales; Brassicaceae
Exons: 3
Source: RefSeq, a predicted model, not a curated record